UACGUAGGUGGCAAGCGUUAUCCGGAAUUAUUGGGCGUAAAGAGCGCGCAGGUGGUUGAUUAAGUCUGAUGUGAAAGCCCACGGCUUAACCGUGGAGGGUCAUUGGAAACUGGUCGACUUGAGAGCAGAAGAGGGAAGUGGAAUUCCAUGUGUAGCGGUGAAAUGCGUAGAGAUAUGGAGGAACACCAGUGGCGAAGGCGGCUUCCUGGUCUGUAACUGACACUGAGGCGCGAAAGCGUGGGGAGCAAACAGGAUUAGA
RNAcentral lists this ribosomal RNA (259 nucleotides) under uncultured prokaryote. RNAcentral describes it as "partial 16S ribosomal RNA". It matches the Rfam family "Bacterial small subunit ribosomal RNA", at positions 524 to 782 of the family's 1533-position model. The record is from RNAcentral.